This 393-nucleotide ribosomal RNA is filed under the name uncultured bacterium. RNAcentral's name for it is "bacterial SSU rRNA". It matches the Rfam family "Bacterial small subunit ribosomal RNA", at positions 505 to 898 of the family's 1533-position model. The record is from RNAcentral.
GUGUCAGCAGCCGCGGUAAGACGAACCGUGCGAACGUUGUUCGGAUUCACUGGGCUUAAAGGGCGCGUAGGCGGGCUCGCUAGUCCGGGGUGAAAUCCUCCAGCUCAACUGGAGAAUUGCCUGGGAUACUGCGGGCCUCGAGGGAGGUAGGGGCGAUCGGAACUUCCGGUGGAGCGGUGAAAUGCGUAGAGAUCGGAAGGAACGCCGGUGGCGAAAGCGGAUCGCUGGGCCUCUUCUGACGCUGAUGCGCGAAAGCCAGGGGAGCGAACGGGAUUAGAUACCCCGGUAGUCCUGGCCCUAAACGAUGGGCACUAGGUAGAGGGCUGAUAUGGGUCCUCUGCCGAAGCAAAAGUGGUAAGUGCCCCGCCUGGGGAGUAUGGUCGCAAGGCUGAA